UCCUAGGAGGCACGGAGUAAGGGCCGUCGCCAUCUGACCCUAACCUCGUCCGGUUGCUUCCGCUGGCCCGGGUCCAGCCUCGGUGGCUAGAGCGUCGCGGGACGUUGGGCGCGCGCUGCGGACAGCCCCAGAGCCCGCCGCUCGCGCCUGACGCCUCAAGCCCUUGUCUCUGCAUCGAAAUGGCUGAAGUCUACAGGGUUGAAACAUCCCUCUGAUAUGCUCAGAGCUACACUUCUUCCCAGGCUGCUGUGACAACUUGGUGACUCCACCAUGUCCAGGCUCCAGGUCCAGGAGCAGGCAGUGGAUUCCGAGGGAGACUCAUCCCUAUACAGGAGAGAUGAGGAGGGGACACAGAGCUCCCACCGCAUGCUGGGCUUUAGUGAUGCCUUACUAUCCAUCAUCGCCACUGUCAUGGUCAGUGUGGGGCCCGCCUCAAACCUACCACUCCUUUCUGUGGCAGCCUCGGAUGCCCAAACCUUUCAUGCAGGUGCAGCCUGCCCAGCAGUGGUCAAGAGCCAACAUAACUACUGAAGAGCCCAGCCCCAGAAGUAUUGCUUGGUCAUUUUUGUCUUUGUUCCUUUAGAUCCUGCCUGUGACCCACACAGAGAUCUCACCAGAACAGCAGUUUGACAAAAGUAUACAGAAACUUCUAGCAACUAGGAUUGCUGUCUACCUCAUGACAUUUCUAAUCGUAACUGUGGCCUGGGCAGCACAUAGCCUGUAUGAUGACCAUCACCCUUCUGCCCUACACA
This 752-nucleotide long non-coding RNA is filed under the name Rattus norvegicus (Norway rat). RNAcentral's name for it is "long non-coding RNA NONRATT009680". Lineage: Eukaryota; Metazoa; Chordata; Mammalia; Rodentia; Muridae. The record is from RNAcentral.